CUCCAACUCUGUCCAACAUCUGGAAGAACGAUUGCCUGUCUUUAAAUUUGGAAUUAAUCUCCAAUUGCAUACUCCUGCUAGGCUGAUGUUUCAGUAAAUUCUAACGCAUCAGCCUCAGAUCUUUGAUUCCUUGAGCUUUUGGAAGUAGAAGUUAAAGUCUGAGAGGGUGUUUCAAGACUUAGGAAACUUAGUGCUGUGGAAUGACCUGUGCAUCUGACAAGGCCCCUUUAACAAUGUUGUGUGUCACUGCAUGUUCUUAUUUGUAAUCAAAACAGUAGGUACAAUAUUUCAAUAAGGGGUGUUUUUGGCAUGGUUACUUAAUCCUAAGCUCUGAGAGGCACAGGAAGUAAAAGAAAAGUUAAAGAUGACAAUUAAGGUGUUGGGCCCAGUUAGAUAUAGUGAAGUCAGAAUUUUCCCUCAUUAAAACUGUUAGACCAAUUUCAUUAGACGGAAAUGCACCCACAUAUGUAAAUCUUCUUUGUUUAAUUGGAGACCUAUUGAUUGUAGGUAACAUAAGCCUCUCUAAGGGAAACAGAACCCAACUGAAGAUAAGAGUUUCUUCCCCCCAACACAUACAGCAUUCAUGAUUUUAUUUCUCUAGGCGUGUUCAUUAUCAAAAUCAUUCUACUGCAGACUUUCCCAUAAAGUGUUUCUGUCUGGCCCUGUUUUCAUAUCUAAAAGCUUCUAGUGGUUUCAGCAAGAAAUGAUGGAAACAUUUUGACAGAAUAUAUAUUUCUUUUUUUAAAACUAAGAUCUUAAAAUUAAAGAGAAACAAAAACUUACAAAAUCACAUGAAAAUAUAAUGCUUUAAAGAGACUGAGAAUAAUUGUCUUCUUUUGUGCUUUCAUAGAAUGCUAAAAGAAACCAAAUUCUGAUCUUCUUUGGGUAUUACUGAUCUCUAAACAAGAUGUUUAAUUAGCAGAAUUAUAGCAUCUUAGAUAAAAUUGGUUAUUUUUAACUUAAUCACGUAGUUGAUGCUACAGAAAUGAAUUCAUGGCCUUUCUUGUGGUGCUCGUCUUUUUCUUGUUUGAUGUUGCUAGUUGAACACAUCUCAGGUUGUGAGAAGUGCAUAUUUAGAUGGGAACAUCUUGGAGAGAUCUUGAUUGGUAGAGAGUAACUUUAUAUCAUGUUCAUCUCACAUUAGGUUUGUAUUCCAUCCGGAAUUUGUGUAUGGUGUGAGGUAGGGAUCCAAUUUCAUUUUAUUCUGUAUGAAUGGACAGUUUUCACUUUAUCACUUAUUGAAUAAUUUCUCUAUUCCCCAAAUAAUGUAAAAUGAUACCUCUGUCAUUUAUUUUUUAUAUUUGUGUAUGUCUGUUUUUGGAUUCUUUGCUCUGUUACACUGAUCAACUUGUCUGCCCUAUACCAUCACCACAAUUUUUCACUUACUAAGCCCUUAUAAUGAGUCUUGAUAAAGCAAAAUUUCACACCUCUUUUUGAAAUAAAUUUUUUAGUUAUUCUUUACCCCUCACUAUUCCAUAUAUAUCAUGGCAUUACUUUGUCAAGUUUUGUGAAACAUCCUAUUGGGACUUUGUUUAGAAAUAUAUUGAAUCUACAGAUAAAGGAAAUUGACAUCUUUUUUUAACUAUCAAAUAUUAUUAUCUAUGAACAUGAUGGCAAAUGUAUAAUGUAUAGCCUUUAAUAUUCUUAAAGUGGAUGUUAGUUAAGGACAAUUUUUAGUUGAGAGAGAGUGAAAGAGAGAGAGAUAAGGGGGGCAGAGAGGAUUCCAUUACAUUCAGCACAGUAUGAAACUAAGUCAAAGGAGUUUUGUUAAUUAAAUUCAAUUGCCAUCCAUUAGACCAGUGGAAUGAGAUGACUCUGCCUGGUGCUGACACAGCACAGGUGUAAAAAUGAAGAAAAAAUUAUAUCUCAUGUUGUGAAAGAGUCAGACUCUGAAAUCUGCUUAUACUUUGCUAUUUACAGCCUAACAUUCAUUUCAUAUGCAUUGAUUAUUAUUGUUGAACUUGCAUUAAUUACAUCGUGCAUAUAUGGACAUACAAUGUCAUCUGCAGAAUUUAGGAUUUUUUAUUGUUAAUUUUUAUAGUGACUGUGGAUUGAGGAAUUAAAAUUAGCAUGCUUCAUUUAUAAUAGUAUUUCUAGUGUUUCAUUAGCCCUAAAAAUGUGAUAAGAUCAGGAAUAAGAUUGGAAUGAAAAUUUCUCCUUAAAAUGCAAGCACCCGUGCUUUACCUCGUGCUGACCCUUGAGCAAGGCUGCCCCUGGAUUCUGCCUUUCCUCCAGUGGUUAUCUGAGGAGUGUCUGCCAUGUCUUCUGUUUUUUUUUUUUUUUGCCUUGUUUUGAGGAGUCCCCUUUUUUCCUCCCCUGGGAGAGUUUAAAUAUGAUGCUGAUUUCUUGUCAUCUUAGGGCUCCUCAGCUACAACAAAGUUAAAUGGUAUAAAAGCAAAGCCCAAAUUAGAGACCCUAAAAUAACCUUGGAGAAGGAGAGUUCUCAGUUAUCAGUAGAAUUGUCUUAGGAAUUUGAGGAAGCCCUUGUAUACAGUGAAAAUGAGACCCUAAGUUAAUUAACAAAAUGAAAAUAACUUACAGUACAUAUCUGCCACUUCCAGUACUGCUAUAAAUAAUUGCAAGUGUAAGGAUUUUUAGUGCAAAUAUGCAGAAAACAUGGGCAUAGAAAGUUUAGAUGACCUUAAUGAAGAAACAGAGUUGGCUCUGAAACUGUGCUUAGCAGGAACAACGUUUUGUGCACUUGAUAAACACUGUCAGUUGUUAAGGCAUCUUCUGAUAGGUGAAAAGCGGUUUUUUGAUGCAGUACUGCCUGGCAUGCAUCUUCUCGAUGGUCUGUUAUCUUGUGGGAAUGACAUUCGUUAAGUUGUUUUCUGUGUGCAUCCCACCCAAAUAAAGAAUGUUUCAUCAGCAAAGUGAAUUGCCGUAUAGUCAUCAGACUCUAGAAAUAAAUUAUCAACGAUGACUGCAGUGGGUGAGGCUGUUUGUUUAUCACAUCACUUGAGAACAGAGUAAAAGACUGAAGGCCAUUAUGGCUGGACAGUUAAGGGAGAGUGACCUAAAUAAAGUUCAUAUUGGCGGGAGAGCAGCUUGCCACAGGGUUACACAGAAUAGGCAGUGGUGAUUUAAGGAUUGUUUGGAAAUAUUGUUAGAAUCAAAAUCAACGUUUGUUACUACACAGGGUUGAGCAUUCCAGGCACACUCUGGUCGUUUUGUUAUUCUAAUGUCCACUUAUUUCAUGUCUGCCGUGACCGUGACAGUUUUCAGUCACACAGAGCUGCCAUCAAAAGAGUGAUAAGCUUGUAAGUGAAGCCUUUGGGGAAGCAAUAAAGUCAUUUUUCUGGUCCCAUCUCAAAAGACAUUAUUGGAAAUUUAUUUAAAAGUGAUCAAGGUAGCACAUACGAGGCCUUCUACAGUUUGCAUUUUGGAAGUUAUUAACAAUCUGCAGUUAAGUCCAUUUAAAACUGAAAGUGGCUCUUCCACAAACUACUUUUUAAAUAGCUUGCUGGUUCUAAAUUUAAGGAGAAUGGAAAUAUUGGAAAUUAAAAGUCAAAAGAAAUUUCUGGGGCAUAAGAUCCUUUCAAGUUUACAAUUUCUCACUUUAGAUUUAAAACUUGAACACGGCCAUACUUUGCAUUUUAUGAUAUCUAAUUAGUGCCUUGUAAUAUAUUUUGUGAACAGUAUCUGUUAGCCAUAAUAUCAGGGACAGUUUAAAAAAUCUUCAGUACAUUUAUGAUAAAAGUAUUAGCAUUGUAAGGUCUUAAAUUGACAUCUAGGACAUUAGGAAAUCAAAUUUAAAGCAUUGCAUUGUCUGUUACUCAAUGGAGUGGACUGAGGACAGCGUGUGACUUGUGUACUGCAAAUGAUGCAAUAGCUAAAUAUCCUAGUGUGAGUUAAGGUUGAUUAAGUGAUCAUCUUUAACUCUGCUUUUCCCAGGGCUCUUUGAACUCUUGUUUUAUUAGGUAAUAUGCUAUGCUGUUAUUUUAUUGCUGUUUAAAAAACCUUCUCUUUUGGGAAAGAAAACAUGUGAAUUCUUUGGUUUCUAGAUAGAAAUUAGCAAUCUUUUGCUCGGAAUGUAAAAGUAUGCUGUAUUAUCACAAACUGACCCUCCUCCUCCCCAAGAAUUCUAGGGAGUAAAAUGCGUGCACAGGAAAUCAGAAAUGGAUCAACAGAGUUAUAGGUUUUAAAAAAACUGCCUUGCAUUUUUGCCCUGGAAUUAAUUUUCAGUGAAAAUUAAAAUAUUUUUUCUGU
RNAcentral lists this long non-coding RNA (4209 nucleotides) under Homo sapiens (human). RNAcentral describes it as "HSALNT0292728". Lineage: Eukaryota; Metazoa; Chordata; Mammalia; Primates; Hominidae. The record is from RNAcentral.